UUCAGCCACUAAUUGCCAUUAAACCACCCAAUUAAGUAGGAGUUAAUACUAAUCACUUCCAGAUUGGUUCUCUCUUAAAUUCACACUCUCACUUUCACAAAAUGCAAAUCCUAGCAAAAAACCAAAGAAAGAGAGAGCCGAGAGGGAGUAAGAGAGUAGAAGAAACUGCUACCCUUUUUGUUUUACUCUCGUACAAUCUAAGAAAACCGAAGCUGCCCAAUCUGAGGAACUCAUCCUUUCGGCCCAACAAAUUCUGCAGUGUAAACCACAUUUCAACUUCGACAGAAGGUUGAGCAGUGACGGUGGAGAAUGCUGAGCAGAGUUAUGAUUUUCCUUUUAUUUUAAGUAGAGGCUCUCGGCGGUGCAUGUCUCCAUACAUGUGACCGUGUUUGUUCCGUUGCGUACUAAGGUUCUAGAUGACAUCGACUGUUACUCUGAUAAUUAUUUAUUAAAAUAUAAGAUUUUCAUUCAA
Long non-coding RNA from Salvia hispanica, 472 nucleotides. RefSeq lists it as uncharacterized. The record is from RefSeq and is a predicted model, not a curated record. NCBI's taxonomy places the organism in Eukaryota, Viridiplantae, Streptophyta, Magnoliopsida, Lamiales, Lamiaceae.